Molecule: ribosomal RNA, 499 nt
Filed under: Eutropiichthys salweenensis
Lineage: Eukaryota; Metazoa; Chordata; Actinopteri; Siluriformes; Schilbidae
Description: partial 12S ribosomal RNA
Rfam family: Bacterial small subunit ribosomal RNA
Source: RNAcentral
AACCUAGACAUACAUUCACACAUAUGUCCGCCCGGGUACUACGAGCCACAGCUUAAAACCCAAAGGACUUGGCGGUGCCUCAGACCCACCUAGAGGAGCCUGUUCUAGAACCGAUAAUCCCCGUUAAACCUCACCCCUUCUUGUUUUUUCCGCCUAUAUACCGCCGUCGUCAGCUUACCCUGUGAAGGUCUAAUAGUAAGCAAAAUGGGCCCACCCAAAAACGUCAGGUCGAGGUGUAGCGAACGAAGGGGGAAGAAAUGGGCUACAUUUUCUAAAUAAUAGAAUACUACGGAUGAGCACCCUGAAAAACGUGCCUGAAGGUGGAUUUAGCAGUAAAAAGCAAAUAGAGAGUCCUUUUGAAUUAGGCUCUGAGACGCGCACACACCGCCCGUCACUCUCCCCAAUAUACCCUAGAUUAAUAUUCCUAAUGCCCUAUUAAAUAACACGGGGAGGCAAGUCGUAACAUGGUAAGUGUACCGGAAGGUGCACUUGGGAUAAC